This 440-nucleotide ribosomal RNA is filed under the name uncultured bacterium. Its description in RNAcentral is "partial 16S ribosomal RNA". It matches the Rfam family "Bacterial small subunit ribosomal RNA", at positions 338 to 795 of the family's 1533-position model. The record is from RNAcentral.
CCUACGGGUGGCAGCAGUAGGGAAUAUUGCUCAAUGGGGGAAACCCUGAAGCAGCAACGCCGCGUGGAGGAUGAAGGUUUUCGGAUUGUAAACUCCUUUUGUUAGAGAAGAUAAUGACGGUAUCUAACGAAUAAGCACCGGCAAACUCCGUGCCAGCAGCCGCGGUAAUACGAAGGGUGCAAGCGUUAAUCGGAAUUCCUGGGCGUAAAGGGCGCGUAGGCGGGUAAGCAAGUUAGAUGUGAAAUCCUAUGGCUUAACCCUAGAACUGCAUUUGAAACUGUUUUUCUAGAGUAUGGGAGAGGUAGGUGGAAUACUUGGUGUAGGGGUAAAAUCCGUAGAGAUCAAGAGGAAUACUCAUUGCGAAGGCGACCUGCUAGAACAUAACUGACGCUGAUGCGCGAAAGCGUGGGGAGCAAACAGGAUUAGAUACCCGUGUAGUC